Molecule: ribosomal RNA, 323 nt
Filed under: uncultured eukaryote
Lineage: Eukaryota
Description: partial 18S ribosomal RNA
Rfam family: Eukaryotic small subunit ribosomal RNA
Source: RNAcentral
CCCUUAGAUGUUCUGGGCAGCACGCGCGCUACAAUGGUCUUCGCAAACGGAUGCAUUCUCGAAGGAGAAUGCCAAUCUUGGAAUCUAUGCCUUGGUCGGGACAGUUGCUUGCAAUUUUUCGACUCGAACCAGGAAUUCCUUGUAAUCGUGAUUCAUCACAUCACGAUGAAUACGUCCCUGCCCUUUGUACACACCGCCCGUCGCUCCUACCGAUUGAAUGAUCCGAUGAAUAUCAUGGAUUGAGGAUGCAAGUAGGUUCGCCUAUCUUCAUCUUCGAGAAGUGAAGUAAAUCUUAUCAUUUAGAGGAAGGAGAAGUCGUAACA